GCCCUUAGAGUUUGAUUCUGGCUCAGGAUGAACGCUGGCGGCGUGCUUAACACAUGCAAGUCGAACGGGCUCAUAUUGAAACCUAGUGAUGUAUGAGUUAGUGGCGGACGGGUGAGUAACGCGUGGAGAACCUGCCGUAUACUGGGGGAUAACACUUAGAAAUAGGUGCUAAUACCGCAUAAGCGCACAGCUUCGCAUGAAGCAGUGUGAAAAACUCCGGUGGUAUACGAUGGAUCCGCGUCUGAUUAGCUGGUUGGCGGGGUAACAGCCCACCAAGGCGACGAUCAGUAGCCGGCCUGAGAGGGUGAACGGCCACAUUGGGACUGAGACACGGCCCAAACUCCUACGGGAGGCAGCAGUGGGGAAUAUUGCACAAUGGGGGAAACCCUGAUGCAGCGACGCCGCGUGAGUGAAGAAGUAUUUCGGUAUGUAAAGCUCUAUCAACANGGAAGAAAAUGACGGUACCUGACUAAAAAGCCCCGGCUAACUACGUGCCAGCAGCCGCGGUAAUACGUAAGGGGCAAGCGUUAUCCGGAU
RNAcentral lists this ribosomal RNA (537 nucleotides) under uncultured bacterium. RNAcentral's name for it is "bacterial SSU rRNA". It matches the Rfam family "Bacterial small subunit ribosomal RNA", at positions 1 to 550 of the family's 1533-position model. The record is from RNAcentral.